This 66-nucleotide transfer RNA is filed under the name Macrosteles quadrimaculatus. RNAcentral's name for it is "tRNA-Leu". Lineage: Eukaryota; Metazoa; Arthropoda; Insecta; Hemiptera; Cicadellidae. The record is from RNAcentral.
AAUAGGUUGGCAGAUUAGUGCCUUAAAUUUAGGAUUUAAUUAUAUGAAUUUUAUUUAUACCUAUUA